Gadus macrocephalus (Pacific cod) is the source of this 3221-nucleotide long non-coding RNA. RefSeq lists it as uncharacterized. The record is from RefSeq and is a predicted model, not a curated record. The transcript is spliced from 3 exons. Lineage: Eukaryota; Metazoa; Chordata; Actinopteri; Gadiformes; Gadidae.
GGGGGGGGGGGGGAUCUGAUGUGCAUCAUUAUCUGAUGCCCUUUAGAUAGUUUCACUUCACUGGGGCGUGGCGCCAUCCCCCUGAUCGUAUCUGUGCUAAGAUCGGCCAUGUUGUCUCAAGACGAAGAGCAGCAGGUUUUAAAGACAGAAACCGUUGUGCCGGCUGACAUGGGGAACCCAAUCAGCCCGGCCUGCUUCUCUGUGGUUUAGUAGUUUCUCUUUUAAUAUUUACACCAGCUGUGUUAUGUCUGUUCGGGGCCGUUUCAUGGUAGGGGGAGCGUGAAAUAACACAGCUAAAGCGUCUGGUCACAGCGGUGGCGAGGGGAGCCUGUGUCCCCGGGCCUAACUUCUCCCCGCUGGUGAGCCAGCACAUCCAACUGCCCCCCCUCCCCCCCUUACUCCGCGCGCCUUCCUUCAAACGACCACGGCCGUUGCUGUAGGGCACGAGGAAUAGCAAACAGGCCAUGGUGGGCAGAGGGGCGGCAGGGCGGAUGUGGAGGGGCUAUGGUUCACAGAAAUUGGCGCUCGUCCGAGACUAGAAUAAAGAACUAAGAUGACCGGCGGGGAUGCCACACAUGAUGCAGCCGGUGCUGGUCCGUUGAGCAGCCAGGGCGAGUUUAUUUUUUUUGAGGGGUGGUCUUAAGGUAGUGUGAUAUGGAGGCUGGAUGAUUCGAGCAGAGUGCCACUCAGAUCGGGUCAUUAAACACUUAACGUGAAUCCUGUGUUUUCUUUCGAUUUGGCAGAUAAACCCUGCAUCCUUUUUCCCGCUCUUUUGCGGAAACGGGAACCGAGGCCGGCUAAUAAAGAAAUGUGAUUUCCCCUUCGUUGGCUGAAGGCUUGAUAGCUUGUUAGCUCAAGGCAGCGACUAAGGAAUAUUCACUCCAAUGGGUAUGUUAGGGAAUGGCAUGUUAUAUUUUUUGCCAUCUGGUCUUCGGUUUUAUCUAAAGUGCCUUACGGUACCCUGAAUGCAUACUUGUCUUGUUGUGGUGGUCCCUUUUGAGGAAGUACACACAUCCCUGGUGGUGGUAAUUAUCCUAAUCUCAGCCAAUUGUGCGAGACAGGACAUAUAAGGAAGGCUUUGUCUUGGGCUUGUAUUUUUCUGGACAGUUCUGCCAAGUAUCGAAACGAGGGAAUCUACAGGGAAAACCGACAGACGGCGAAUACCCCGAGAAGUGACAAAUCGACCGACGAGGGAAGGAAGACUCAUAGGAGCGGAGACUGCGCUCUGAUUGAGUGAAGAAACCCACACCUCUUUUACAGAACCAUGUGUUGGAGGAGAGAAGGCGGAGAUGCAGAAGGUCGGAGGAGGUAUCAGAGACGUCGAGACACCUCAGGGGCAUGUCUCUUCAGCAGUAAUAAACCAACACAGAGACCCUAGGCUGAGACCAGGGGAACAACGCACCAUGCAGAAUGGAUAGCACAGCCCCAGGGCUACUGCUAACAAGCUGCUAGCCCAAGGCUAAAUUGCUUGAUUGCAGAGCAAGUCUAAAUAUUAAAUGGCCUCUAUCUCCCUACGCGCUACCAUGUGGAUUAGCCAUUCACAAGCCAUUUCAAUAGCCAAUUUAUAGUGGCAUAAGCAACAAGUGGGUGUCUCCACCGCAGAUUUACAAUCAAUAGAUCAGCUUUUACCGGUUGAUACUGUUCACUCGGUUACGCUGUUGAUUUUACGUUGAACAUUCCCACGUGAUGUCACAAAUGGGUUGAUGUUGAAUUGACUUGUGAAGGCUUAUCCAAGUCACAACUGGUGGUUAAAAACAACAGCAAUGCAGAACAUAUUCCACUUGAGACAUCUGGCCACUCUUGCACAGACAAGGAACAGUACAAUGCAGUUCAUCACAACAAAACAUUCACUCUGCAGAGCACAUCACAUAAAGAAGCACUUGUAAGAAAUACAGGAAAAAACUGUUGUAGCUUUGAAAACAAUAAAUGUUAAAGGGACCUUCAAAUGAUUUUGUCAUGAUUAAUAAAGGCAUUAAAUGAUAUUCUGCCUUUGUUGUUGUUGCUAAGUGGGUUUUUUUAAAUUUGGAAUUUAGUUUUUCAUUUUGUUUUAACCCUCUGAGUCUUCGUUUCGGGGAUGAGGACAGGGGGGAGGGUUCAGGGACGAAAAGGAGUUAUCACAACUUAAGUCGUUUAAGAUCUUUAGGAAGUAAUUAGAUCUUAGUUACCUAUUUAUUUUUCUUAAUUCUCGCGCACAAAACCUUCGGGGGCUAUUCAACCGUUCUUCAAAAAAGGUACAAUUUCAUAAAAAACCAAUUGGGUUUGUCGGUUGACAGAGAAAGUAUUUCCUUCCCUAACCUUUUAGAUAAAAAGACUAGAGGAGGAUCAGCUGGGCACGAUAAAGAGAAAGCUCUCAGUAUAGAAGUUGGUGCGAAUGAGGUUUGAUUUGCCGUUCGGUGGUCAGAUUCUGUUUAGAGCUUACAUUUUUUAAACUGACACUGUUUCCAUACCAAAGCAAAACAACAACCCGUUAACCCUUUGAGAACAGAAAACUACUGAGACCUGCAAUAUAGAACCAUUUCACUUGAGCCAACCCUUUUUGUUCCAACUUAUGUGUAACUUCUUUCAUUGUAGCCAUCACUUUUGUUGAAGCUAAAUUAGAGUAUGAGCUGUAGUGUUCACCCACUCAAUCACCCCAAAGCUUUCCAUUCUCCCCAAAUCAAUUGGGUCGGUGGAAAAAGGGGUGAAAAUAAUCAGAAUCUGAACAAAAGUGAUGGCUGCAGUGAAAAAGUACAGUGCAGGCCCAAAGUUAGAUUAAGAAACUUAAUGCUUACUAUUGUCGAAAAAGUACCACUUUGUCUGUUUGUGUUUCAAUCAAAUGUAUAGGCAAGUGUGUCCAUUUCAGUAAUGAAAGUAGUUACGUAAGUGUUUGUUGGCAUCAAGUUUUGUGUCAAGUCUUUUUCACGUGUGUUUGUCACUUUGUCCCUACUAACUGCUUCGGUGAGUCUUUAUCUGGAAGUAGAAAGAGAAUAAAACAUUCUGUUCAUGAGUCUACUUAGCUAUUCGUAGUGCACACAAACCCAUUCCGUAAAUGGGGUGAGUCAUCUUUUAUUGAUUAGAAUUCUUCAAUCAAAUUUCAUCUACCAGGAGAUUUAGUCAUUAAUAUCUUUAUUUUUUGUAAUAUCCUGACUUGCUUCUUGUUGCUGCUUCGUGGCAGUGAGAGAGUUGAAGGAUGUUUGGAGGUAUGUUUUGUCGUCAUGAAAUAAAUAUCGUCGUUCCGUUUA